CCUACGGGUGACAGUAGUGAGGAAUAUUGGUCAAUGGGCGCGAGCCUGAACCAGCCAAGUCGCGUGAGGGAAGACGGCCCUACGGGUUGUAAACCUCUUUUGCCGGGGAGCAACGGGCGCCACGUGUGGCGCCACUGAGAGUAACCGGAGAAAAAGCAUCGGCUAACUCCGUGCCAGCAGCCGCGGUAAUACGGCGGAUGCGAGCGUUAUCCGUGUGUAUUGGGUUUAAAGGGUGCGUAGGCGGAGCGUUAAGUCAGUGGUCAAAUUGAGGGGCUCAACCCCUUCCCGCCAUUGAAACUGGCGCUCUUGAGUGGAAGAGAAGUAUGCGGAAUGCGUGGUGUAGCGGUGAAAUGCAUAGAUAUCACGCAGAACCCCGAUUGCGAAGGCAGCAUGCCGGCUUCCUACUGACGCUGAAGCACGAAAGCGUGGGGAUCGAACAGGAUUAGAUACCCGUGUAGUC
This 460-nucleotide ribosomal RNA is filed under the name uncultured bacterium. Its description in RNAcentral is "partial 16S ribosomal RNA". It matches the Rfam family "Bacterial small subunit ribosomal RNA", at positions 338 to 795 of the family's 1533-position model. The record is from RNAcentral.